RNAcentral lists this ribosomal RNA (96 nucleotides) under Caerostris darwini. Lineage: Eukaryota; Metazoa; Arthropoda; Arachnida; Araneae; Araneidae. The record is from RNAcentral.
UGAAUAUACCGGUUCUCGUUAGAUCACCGAAGUUAAGCAUCAUUGGGCGCGGUCAGUACUUGGGUGGGUGACCACCUGGAAACACUGCGUGCCGUU